Long non-coding RNA from Apis mellifera (honey bee), 491 nucleotides. RefSeq lists it as uncharacterized. The transcript is spliced from 2 exons. The record is from RefSeq and is a predicted model, not a curated record. NCBI's taxonomy places the organism in Eukaryota, Metazoa, Arthropoda, Insecta, Hymenoptera, Apidae.
UAUUGUCAUUGCAACUAGUAGGGAGCAUGCGACGGCGCCCUAUGGGCGCCGUUAUGCCGCGACGAAUGUAGUUUCAAAGAUGUUUCUUCUUAUUCAUUCUUCUUUUUCUUUUCGUCGAUUAUAUGUUUAUAAUUCUGAUACUUAGAAGAAAAAAUUUAAAGUAACGAAAAAUAAACAAUGAUCUAUUAAAAAGAUGUGAAGAAUGAUGGUGAGGCGCGAAGGCAGGCACCUAUACAAAGAUGGGAACCGGUUUCGCAUUCUAUUCUUUUUUUACAUUCUCGAAAGAGAUCUUGCCGAGUCGCGGGUGUGAAAACUGACACUCACCCUCAUUUGUUAUUUUAUGAAAACAAAGGAAAAUUAUAAGAAUCACGCAGUAUCAUCAAAUUAUUUCUUGCUUUUUUUUCUAUCUUAACAUCAUAUCAUUUUCAACCAUGUAUAUACAUAUUUUCGAUAGACUUUUUAAUCUAGCUCUAAUAAAAUGUAGUAUCGAA